GCCUAGACGUAAACAAUUUAUUUACAUACUUUAACGCCCGGGUAUUACGAGCAAUGCUUAAAACCCAAAGGACUUGACGGUGUCUCACCCGCCUAGAGGAGCCUGUUCUAUAAUCGAUAACCCCCGCUUUACCUAACCAUUCUUUGCCUAAUCAGUCUGUAUACCUCCGUCGGAAGCUUACCAUAUGAACGCCCAUAGUAAGCCCAAUGGUCACCCACCAACACGUCAGGUCAAGGUGCAACUUAUAGGAUGGAAAGAAAUGGGCUACAAUUUCUAAAUUAGAACAAACGAAAGGCUGUCUGAAACCCCCAGUCAUGAAGGAGGAUCUAGUAGUAAAAGGGGAAUAGAGAGCUCCUUUUAACCCGGCACUGAGACGCGUACACACCGCCCGUCACCCUCUUCAAUAGUUAUUCGUCUAGAUUAUUAACAAAUUAACCACGCCUU
Molecule: ribosomal RNA, 444 nt
Filed under: Meristogenys orphnocnemis (Sabah Borneo frog)
Lineage: Eukaryota; Metazoa; Chordata; Amphibia; Anura; Ranidae
Description: partial 12S rRNA
Rfam family: Bacterial small subunit ribosomal RNA
Source: RNAcentral